UACGUAGGGUGCAAGCGUUGUCCGGAAUUAUUGGGCGUAAAGAGCUCGUAGGCGGUCUGUCGCGUCGGCUGUGAAAACCCGGAGCUCAACUCCGGGCCUGCAGUCGAUACGGGCAAACUGGAGUGUUGCAGGGGAGACUGGAAUUCCUGGUGUAGCGGUGAAAUGCGCAGAUAUCGUGAGGAAGACCAGUGGCGAAGGCGGGUCUCUGGACAGUUCCUGACGCUGAGGCGCGAAGGCCAGGGGAGCAAACGGG
This 253-nucleotide ribosomal RNA is filed under the name uncultured bacterium. Its description in RNAcentral is "partial 16S ribosomal RNA". It matches the Rfam family "Bacterial small subunit ribosomal RNA", at positions 524 to 776 of the family's 1533-position model. The record is from RNAcentral.